This 486-nucleotide ribosomal RNA is filed under the name uncultured bacterium. Its description in RNAcentral is "bacterial SSU rRNA". It matches the Rfam family "Bacterial small subunit ribosomal RNA", at positions 28 to 507 of the family's 1533-position model. The record is from RNAcentral.
GAUGAACGCUAGCGGGAGGCUUAACACAUGCAAGUCGAGGGGCAGCAUAGGGUAGCAAUACUCUGAUGGCGACCGGCAAACGGGUGAGUAACGCGUAUGCAACCUACCCUGUACAGGGGGAUAACCCGGAGAAAUUCGGACUAAUAUCCCGUAAUAAUAUCCGGAGGCAUCUUUGGAUAUUUAAAGUUCCGACGGUACGGGAUGGGCAUGCGUAACAUUAACUGGUUGGUAAGGUAACGGCUUACCAAGGCUAUGAUGUUUAGGGGUCCUGAGAGGGUGGUCCCCCACACUGGUACUGAGACACGGACCAGACUCCUACGGGAGGCAGCAGUGAGGAAUAUUGGUCAAUGGGCGCAAGCCUGAACCAGCCAUCCCGCGUGCAGGAAGACGGCCCUAUGGGUUGUAAACUGCUUUUCCAGGGAGAGAACUUACGCACGUGUUGCGUGACUGACGGUACCCUGGGAAUAAGCAUCGGCUAACUCCGUG